RNAcentral lists this ribosomal RNA (449 nucleotides) under Yarrowia lipolytica. RNAcentral's name for it is "LSU rRNA". It matches the Rfam family "Eukaryotic large subunit ribosomal RNA", at positions 87 to 516 of the family's 3401-position model. Lineage: Eukaryota; Fungi; Ascomycota; Dipodascomycetes; Dipodascales. The record is from RNAcentral.
CGGCGAGUGAAGCGGCAAAAGCUCAAAUUUGAAACCCUCGGGAUUGUAAUUUGAAGAUUUGGCAUUGGAGAAAGCUAACCCAAGUUGCUUGGAAUAGUACGUCAUAGAGGGUGACAACCCCGUCUGGCUAACCGUUCUCCAUGUAUUGCCUUAUCAAAGAGUCGAGUUGUUUGGGAAUGCAGCUCAAAGUGGGUGGUAAACUCCAUCUAAAGCUAAAUACUGGUGAGAGACCGAUAGCGAACAAGUACUGUGAAGGAAAGGUGAAAAGAACUUUGAAAAGAGAGUGAAAUAGUAUGUGAAAUUGUUGAUAGGGAAGGAAAUGAGUGGAGAGUGGCCGAGGUUUCAGCCGCCCCUCGUGGGCGGUGUACUGCCGACGCCGAGUCAUCGAUAGCGAGACGAGGGUUACAAAUGGGAGCGCCUUCGGGCGUUCUCCCCUAACCCUCCACACU